This 793-nucleotide ribosomal RNA is filed under the name uncultured bacterium. RNAcentral's name for it is "bacterial SSU rRNA". It matches the Rfam family "Bacterial small subunit ribosomal RNA", at positions 8 to 796 of the family's 1533-position model. The record is from RNAcentral.
AGAGUUUGAUCAUGGCUCAGGAUGAACGCUAGCGGCAGGCUUAAUACAUGCAAGUCGAGGGGCAACAGGGGUAGCAAUACCUGCUGGCGACCGGCAAACGGGUGCGGAACACGUACAGAACCUUCCUUUAAGCGGGGGAUAGCCCGGAGAAAUCCGGAUUAAUACCCCAUAGUAAUGUUGUUUGGCAUCAGGUAACAUUUAAAGAUUUAUCACUUAAAGAUGGCUGUGCGUAUGAUUAGGUAGUUGGUUGAGGUAACGGCUCACCAAGCCUGCGAUCAUUAACUGGUGUGAGAGCACGACCAGUCACACGGGCACUGAGACACGGGCCCGACUCCUACGGGAGGCAGCAGUAAGGAAUAUUGGUCAAUGGACGCAAGUCUGAACCAGCCAUGCCGCGUGAAGGAUGAAGGCCCUCUGGGUUGUAAACUUCUUUUAUGUGGGAAGAAAUGCAUUCUUUAUAGAGUGUUUGACGGUACCAUAGGAAUAAGCACCGGCUAACUCCGUGCCAGCAGCCGCGGUAAUACGGAGGGUGCAAGCGUUAUCCGGAUUCACUGGGUUUAAGGGGUGCGUAGGUGGGCUUGUAAGUCAGUGGUGAAAUCUCCGUGCUUAACAUGGAAACUGCCAUUGAUACUAUAGGUCUUGAAUUUUCCGGAGGUUAGCGGAAUAUGUCUGUAGCGGUGAAAUGCUUAGAUAUGACAUAGAACACCAAUUGCGAAGGCAGCUAACUACAGGGACAUUGACACUGAGGCACGAAAGCGUGGGGAUCAAACAGGAUUAGAUACCCNNGUAGUCC